GGGGGUGUAGUUCAGUGGUAGAAUGCUUGUCUUGUAUGCACAGAAUCCUGGGUUCUAUCCCCAGCACCUUCA
Non-coding RNA from Marmota flaviventris (yellow-bellied marmot), 72 nucleotides. The record is from the annotation of a RefSeq genome assembly. Lineage: Eukaryota; Metazoa; Chordata; Mammalia; Rodentia; Sciuridae.